CGCGGCCUAUCAGCUUGUUGGUGAGGUAACGGCUCACCAAGGCAAUGACGGGUAGCUGGUCUGAGAGGAUGGUCGGCCACACUGGGACUGAGACACUGCCCAGACUCCUACGGGAGGCUGCAGUGGAGAAUCUUCCGCAAUGGACGAAAGUCUGACGGAGCGACGCCGCGUGAAGGAUGAAUGCCUUAGGGUUGUAAACUUCUGUCAGAGUUCAAAGAAGGGGAGUGGGCGAAACACCCGCUUCUUGACAUUAGGCUCAAAGGAAGCACCGGCUAACUCUGUGCCAGCAGCCGCGGUAAUGCAGAGGGUGCAAACGUUGCUCGGAAUCACUGGGCAUAAAGCGCGCGUAGGCGGUUGCGUCAGUGCGGUGUGAAAGCCCCCGGCUCAACCGGGGAAUUGCAUCGCAUACUGCGCGACUAGAGCACGAGAGGGGAGAGCAGAACUCCUGGUGGAGCGGUGGAAUGCGUAGAUAUCUCGAGGAAUGCCGGAGGUGAAGACGGCUCUCUGGCUCGUGACUGACGCUGAGGUGCGAAAGCUAGGGUAGCGAACGGGAUUAGAUACCCCGAUAGUCCUAGCCCUAAACGAUGGGCACUAGCUAGGGGAGGCUUCUGUCUUCUCUGGCCCAGCAAAUGCGAUAAGUGCCCCGCCUGGGGAGUACGG
Molecule: ribosomal RNA, 660 nt
Filed under: uncultured Actinomycetes bacterium
Lineage: Bacteria; Bacillati; Actinomycetota; Actinomycetes
Description: bacterial SSU rRNA
Rfam family: Bacterial small subunit ribosomal RNA
Source: RNAcentral